GUAGGUGGCAAGCGUUGUCCGGAAUUAUUGGGCGUAAAGCGCACGCAGGCGGUUUUUUAAGUCUGAUGUGGAAGCCCACGGCUCAACCGUGGAGGGUCAUUGGAAACUGGAGAACUUGAGUACAGAAGAGGAAAGCGGAAUUCCACGUGUAGCGGUGAAAUGCGUAGAGAUGUGGAGGAACACCAGUGGCGAAGGCGGCUUUCUGGUCUGUAACUGACGCUGAGGCGCGAAAGCGUGGGGAGCAAACAGGAUUAGAUACCCUGGUAGUCCACGCCGUAAACGAUGAGUGCUAAGUGUUAGGGGGGUUUUCCGCCCCCCUUAGUGCUGCAGCUAACGCAUUAAGCACUCCGCCUGGGAGUACGGCCGCAAGGCUG
This 374-nucleotide ribosomal RNA is filed under the name uncultured organism. Its description in RNAcentral is "partial 16S ribosomal RNA". It matches the Rfam family "Bacterial small subunit ribosomal RNA", at positions 527 to 896 of the family's 1533-position model. The record is from RNAcentral.